AUGGAACAACCCCGCCGCCUUGGAGCUCGGCCCGUCCCCGGCCGGCCACCUCUCCGUCGGCCUCGUGCUCCUCCGCCUCGAUCCGUCCGCCCCACCGCCGGAUCCACGCCGGAGCAUCCGGAUCCGCCGCCCAGACCACCAACCAAGAGUCGCCUCUUGCCUAUCCUACGGCCGGGAGGAGGACGACCGAGAGGAGCGCCCAUUGAUCUGCCGCCUGGGCCGCCUUGGAGCACGCCCUGCCUCCGGCCCGCCACCUCCCCGUCAGCUUCGCGCUCCCCCGACAUGAUGAAUCGUUUUUUUUCCCAGAUUAGCCACUUUAAAAAGGACCGCGGGUUGAAUUCACAUACGCAGAGGGACUUUUUUGCAAAUCGCCAGCGACGACGUACGACCAGAAACCGUAGCUGCUUUAUUAUUAGGUAG
RNAcentral lists this ribosomal RNA (420 nucleotides) under Triticum aestivum (bread wheat). RNAcentral describes it as "partial small subunit ribosomal RNA". The record is from RNAcentral. Lineage: Eukaryota; Viridiplantae; Streptophyta; Magnoliopsida; Poales; Poaceae.